AUGUCAGGUUGCAAUGAGACAUCUGGAUCCAAUUCUCACAUGACUAAGGAACAGACGAAGGGCAAGAGGAUGAGGAGAGGCUUACUGGUGACCAUCCCGACCCACCAGAGCGGCUCCCAGAGGUACCCAUACCCUCCGACACCUGCAAUUUUCAGAGGACAGCGAAGGUCACGUCACCGCAGAUACGCGGAACCGGGGCGCAAAGGAUCCGCCUUUCUCACGAACCAGAAAGACCUAGAGCUACAUCGAGGGGCACGAGAGCGACAGGCGGCGCCCUCGGGGGGAGGAGGCGGACGGACCUGCCCGGGAGCCGACGGCGCCGGCGCGGCGGAGGCCCUUCUUCUUGACGAUGAAGCUGACCCCGACGAAGGCGGAGGAGGCGACGGCGAGGAGCGCGCCCUUGAGGUUGGCGGCGAAGAGGUCGCCGCCGGCGUCCGUCGCGGCGGGGCUCAUCGUGCGGCGGCGCGCGGCCGGCGGCGCAUUUGA
Molecule: ribosomal RNA, 486 nt
Filed under: Triticum aestivum (bread wheat)
Lineage: Eukaryota; Viridiplantae; Streptophyta; Magnoliopsida; Poales; Poaceae
Description: partial small subunit ribosomal RNA
Source: RNAcentral